This 624-nucleotide long non-coding RNA is filed under the name Gossypium barbadense (sea-island cotton). RNAcentral's name for it is "long non-coding RNA (GBAR_LNC013607)". Lineage: Eukaryota; Viridiplantae; Streptophyta; Magnoliopsida; Malvales; Malvaceae. The record is from RNAcentral.
AAAAUUUGUUUUUUUUUUCUGAUCUCUUUUCCCUUGUAUUUUCUUUUUAAUUUUCAAUACAUAAAUUUGCUAACCCCUUAAAUCGGUUUACAAUCAGCCUUUUAUACCGAAACUAAUAAUAAUCAAUAAAACUCCUAUCUCUUGCUUGUUGUGCUGUGAUUCGUGGUUUGUUUGCAGGUGGAACGAGCGUUGUGCGAGGCGACGUGCGCGACAUGUGGGAUGACGUGUAGGAACUACUGCGGCGCGAGUUUGCUUCAAUGCCUAGGGUUUCUGCUAAACUUUUUGGUUUUUGGGCUAGCAGGCUAGGUUUGUAAUGGGCCCGGGUGUAAUUUAGGUUUUGGGUAUUAGUUGGGUCUGUUUUGAGUGGGCUGGGCAAAAUUUGUUUAUUACAGAGACCAUGUUGAACUGAUCCUCAUAGAAGUAUCUCCUUGGUCUUGAGAUCACGUACCUGACAUUGUGACGGUAGGAACUCAAACAUCACCUGGUUGUCUCUGGUGAACUUAGGGUGAGUUUAGAUUGGAGGUGCGUUUACCUGCGGUUAGUGUAAAAACAGCGGUGACGGUGAGAUUAGAUACUGUAGCGAUACUGUAGCGUGAGACAAAAAGUAAGUUAAACGCACCGCAC